RNAcentral lists this ribosomal RNA (251 nucleotides) under uncultured bacterium. Its description in RNAcentral is "partial 16S ribosomal RNA". It matches the Rfam family "Bacterial small subunit ribosomal RNA", at positions 57 to 305 of the family's 1533-position model. The record is from RNAcentral.
GCAAGUCGAACGGAAACGAUGGGAGCUUGCUCCUAGGCGUCGAGUGGCGGACGGGUGAGUAAUACUUAGGAAUCUUCCCAUUAGUGGGGGACAACAUUCUGAAACGGAUGCUAAUACCGCAUACGCCCUACGGGGCAAGCGGAGUACCUUUCGGGGCUUCGCGCUAAUGGAUGAGCCUAAGUCGGAUUAGCUUGUUGGUGAGGUAAAGGCUCACCAAGGCGACGAUCCGUAGCUGGUCUGAGAGGACGAUC